GAUGAACGCUGGCGGCGUGCCUAAUACAUGCAAGUCGAGCGAACAGAUGAGAAGCCUGCUUCUCUGAUGUUAGCGGCGGACGGGUGAGUAACACGUGGGUAACCUACCUAUAAGACUGGGAUAACUCCGGGAAGCCGGGGCUAAUACCGGAUAAUAUUUUGAACCGCAUGGUUCAAUAGUGAAAGACGGUUUCGGCUGUCACUUAUAGAUGGACCCGCGCCGUAUUAGCUAGUUGGUAAGGUAAUGGCUUACCAAGGCGACGAUACGUAGCCGACCUGAGAGGGUGAUCGGCCACACUGGAACUGAGACACGGUCCAGACUCCUACGGGAGGCAGCAGUAGGGAAUCUUCCGCAAUGGGCGAAAGCCUGACGGAGCAACGUCGCGUGAGUGAUGAAGGUCUUCGGAUCGUAAAACUCUGUUGUUAGGGAAGAACAAAUUUGUUAGUAACUGAACAAGUCUUGACGGUACCUAACCAGAAAGCCACGGCUAACUACGUGCCAGCCGCCGCAGUAA
RNAcentral lists this ribosomal RNA (514 nucleotides) under uncultured bacterium. Its description in RNAcentral is "partial 16S ribosomal RNA". It matches the Rfam family "Bacterial small subunit ribosomal RNA", at positions 28 to 523 of the family's 1533-position model. The record is from RNAcentral.